Molecule: long non-coding RNA, 213 nt
Filed under: Mytilus galloprovincialis (Mediterranean mussel)
Lineage: Eukaryota; Metazoa; Mollusca; Bivalvia; Mytilida; Mytilidae
Source: RNAcentral
CGUUAACACCCUAAAGGUAGAUAGGAUAGAACAUGACGGUAAACGAACCUAUAGUAUGCAUGUUUUAACGAAUACAUGGUGUGAUCCUUCAUUUAAUGAUACAAAUAAGAAUGAAUCAAGUCAGUUCAUAAGGACACAUCUACAUUCUUCCUACUCAAUUUUGUUCCAUGCAAAGCCCGGAAAAAGAUAUUCUUUUUCUUUUUUACACCAGAC